Molecule: long non-coding RNA, 1846 nt
Organism: Zea mays
Lineage: Eukaryota; Viridiplantae; Streptophyta; Magnoliopsida; Poales; Poaceae
Exons: 3
Source: RefSeq, a predicted model, not a curated record
UGGGGCCCGCACGUCAGCGUUGUCGUAACCCACCCGAGCGGAUGUCGCGCGAUGAGCCCCCCCCCCCCCCCCCCCCCUUGCGCUAGCUGGCCGCACCGACCUAGUCGUGCCCCAGCCAUAAAACCGGGCCCCCAACCCUCGGACCGAACCUCACCGCCACCGUAGCGCGGGUCGCCGUUGAGAGAGAGAGAGAGUCCAGAGAGGGAGAUAGCGCCGCCACCGUAGGCGACGGGCAAUCAGCGUCGGUAGACCCUCGUGACUGGUUGGAGCACUUCGCCGAAUCCCGCAUUUAUAUUGGGAGUUGGAAGCUAAAGAAAAACUGCUCCUCGUUGAUCCAUGUUCAGAAGGAUGAUGAUGCACCAAAGUUCUCUUUAUUUCUUCCUUACUGUAAUUUCUGAUGGUCUAAAUCCUAAACUGAAAAUAACAGCCAGGAUGGCGUGUGAGUCCGGCUAGACCGAGGAGUGACCAACUCUGAAUGGUCCUCUGAAUUCCCAAGCUUUGACAUCUCACACAUUUGUUCUUCCAAGUCGGACCACACUGCUCCUUUUGAAACUGCAGGGAUCCUUCCGGUACGAGAUGAUGUGGGCGCGGGCAGAGCCGCAGAGGGGACUAGCAGCCGUGUUAGAAGGCACAUGGAACAGGACAAUCAUUAGAUGACUAGGGUGUUGAAAUAGUGGACCAACCGAGCAAGGAUGACUUAUGAGCAGCUUCAGGAUCUCACCCAACUGUUCUAGGUGUGGAGAUUCUGGCCGGCAACAAUAUUGCAGCCCUCUUAUCUAUGUCUAGAUUACAAGUUCGAGCUACUGGUUUAUAGCAUAGUAAGUACAAAUCAUCUCGUGAACUCAUACCUCUUGAUGCAAAAAUACUGAAAACACACCUGGUUUUUAUGGGACUGCCAGCGGUUGCAGAUUUAUGUCAAAUUGUAAACUUGUUUGAUAAAUAGUAGUAGAAGAAAUUUCAAAGAGCUAUACUUGGGUUCUCAAAAUUAUCAGAAAACUAUGCAUUUUAGAAUUAUUAUCAUAUGUAACUAUAUAAAUUUGCAUGCUUUGCAGUUUUAGCAUGAUUAUUGCAUCGCGCCAUGUUUUAUGAACCAAUUUACAGUGACACAGCCCUUCAUUUAUCGAGUGCCCAUACCAUGUUUUGACUACUGAGAUAUCAAGCAUAUAUGAACCACAGUGCACUUCUCAGUUCUUUCAAGUGCACUUAUAAACUUAUUAUGUGUAUAUGAUUAUAUUGGAGAUCAGGCAUAUAAGCGAGAGAGGACAUUUACUUUGAUAACUAUAUGAAUGACCCAAAGGCGCCUGGUGGUACACCUAUAAUGCAGCAACGUGCUCCAAAAUUUUCUGCAUCAAUUGGGCUUCCCAACAGUGAGCCAAACCAUAUAUAUGUAAGCUUUUUUUUUCUUUCAGCUUGGGUAACUGCACUUGUCCAGAUCUUGUAAAAAAGCAUUAAUUUGAUAGAGAACUAAAAUUGUACGAAAGCCCAACACCUACAAAAUAUCUAGCUUCUCUUCCACAGACUUGAGUAUAUCAAGGAGAUCGAGGUUGCCUGUUGAAAGGCACGAGGUAAAUUUGUUGUUGAUUCUAAAAGGAUUUUUUUUGUCUUGUUAUGUUUUAUUUUGACCCCCUCAAGGCAUUGCAAUCAUUUCCCAAGCCACCGUAUCCAAGAGAUGGCAGUGUCACCCAAAGAAGCAGUUGUUCGUAAUAUGUGAUUUAGGAAUUCUAUGAAUUAUAUCUACGUAUGGUUAGUUCUAUGCUGACAAUCUGUAACAUGUGUAUACUUGUAUAUAUGAACCUGAAACCUAUGUAUGCUGAAACAUGUUGCCACACCCGGAUUUACGGACAAA